GUUCCCAAUUCCGACAGCCCUGAUCUUCUAACGUUGCAGAAAUCCAUUCAUUCUGCUAGCACUCCAAGCAGCAGACCAAAGGAGUGGCGCCCCGAGAAGAUCUCAGAUCUACAGACCCAAAGCCAGCCAUUAAAAUCACUGCGCAAGUUGUUACAUCUCUCUUCGGCCUCGAAUCACCCGGCUUCUUCAGACCCCCGCUUCCAGCCCUUAACAGCUCAACAAACCAAAAAUUCCUUCUCAGAAAUUCGGAUUCACCCCCUGAGCCAGGCCUCUGGCGGGAGCAGCAACAUCCGGCAGGAGCCCGCACCGAAGGGCAGGCCAGCCCUCCAGCUGCCAGGCAGCUGCUUGAUGAUACAAGUGAGGUGGACCAUCAGCAGUUUGCCUGGACACUAAUGACUCUAAAAGGGUGUGUAUUUAACUCUUCUUUUUCAUACUAGAUCUCUACCUUGUAUUCCCCCCUUGCAAACCAGAAACUACACUUUUUUCCUCUGGAAAGACUUCUCACUGUGCUAUGCGCUUAGGAACUGCACGGUCCCGUUGCCAUGCUGUGGCACUCGAGGCUCGUUGUCACCUAGGGGCUGGUUUCCCAUGUUGUCAUCCUUGCUAACACUGGGAUCUCAGAUGUUUGCAGAACAUUUCUAUUCAUGAUGGUUCUUCAAAGAAGGGCUAGAAUAUUUGCCUUCUACCUAGAGCAAAGUAAACCUAAUUGCUGAAGAGUCAAUACGUACUUUUUGUACAUUCCCAGAUUUGAGCCAGAAAAUACCUACAGAUAUCUACAUAUGUUUUCAACCAGUGUUUUCGAGGUAGCUCUUUAAUCCUCUUCUCAGCUUUUGUCUGUUCUGACUUUUCAUCCAGUAAGCUGUAAGUGAACUACAGUCUGCAUUUCUAGCAUGCAAUUCUCUUCCUGCUCACGAAGGGGGGAUGAUAAAGUUUUCUCUCAGACCUAAUGGGCCCUCUCUUAGCUUUUAACUGUUGUUUUCCCCUCUUGAUGAAGAAUUAUUGACAUCACAAAGAUUGCCAUCUCUGAUAGAAAGGACUUGAUUUAAAGUCAGAAAAAUUUGCCUUUUCUUUAGGAAGGGGAAUUCAUGACAUCCAUGUCCUAUUAUCGGCCCUAACUUCCUAAAGAAGAAAAAGGGUGAAUGAAAGCUUAUGUUACUUUUAUGAAAGUAUCACUGAUCUCCUUUGGAAAAGAAACUCUGCUUCACUGUUUUUCUACCUUUAUUUCUCUGCUGUCCCUGUUUUUCCUCUCUAACGUUCUAAAUACACUUUAACUGAACCUUGUUUGGUCUUGCUCUAAAAUUUAGCCUCUCUCUAGAGCCCAAGACCAAAAGGGAGUGCUUCAUGCUGAAGGGCUUAAGUGAGCUGACUCUACAGCUGUGGUUCUCAACUAGGGGCAGUUCUCAACUAGGGGCAGAUUUGCCCCCAUGGGCACAUUUGGUGAUGUCUGGGGACAUUUCGUUGUCACAGCUGGGGGUNCGGCCCUAACUUCCUAAAGGAAGAAAAGGGUUAAUGAAAGCUUAUGUUUC
This 1526-nucleotide long non-coding RNA is filed under the name Rhinopithecus bieti (black snub-nosed monkey). RNAcentral's name for it is "lncRNA (ENSRBIG00000046264.1)". Lineage: Eukaryota; Metazoa; Chordata; Mammalia; Primates; Cercopithecidae. The record is from RNAcentral.